AACACAUGCAAGUCGAACGGAGUUUGUCAGGGAGCUUGCUUCCUGACAAACUUAGUGGCGGACGGGUGAGUAACGCGUGGGCAAUCUGCCCGUAAGAGGGGGAUAACACCGUGAAAACGGUGCUAAUACCGCAUAACAUCACUGGAUCGCAUGAUCCGGUGAUCUAAGGAGUAAUCCGCUUACGGAUGAGCCUGCGUCUGAUUAGCUAGUUGGUAGGGUAACGGCCUACCAAGGCGACGAUCAGUAGCCGGCCUGAGAGGGUGAUCGGCCACUCUGGAACUGAGACACGGUCCACACUCCUACGGGAGGCAGCAGUGGGGAAUCUUCCGCAAUGGGCGAAAGCCUGACGGAGCAACGCCGCGUGAGUGAUGAAGGCUUCGGGUUGUAAAACUCCUGU
This 397-nucleotide ribosomal RNA is filed under the name uncultured bacterium. RNAcentral describes it as "bacterial SSU rRNA". It matches the Rfam family "Bacterial small subunit ribosomal RNA", at positions 50 to 437 of the family's 1533-position model. The record is from RNAcentral.